GACGAACGCUGGCGGCGUGCUUAACACAUGCAAGUCGAGCGGAAAGGCCCUGCUUUUGUGGGGUGCUCGAGUGGCGAACGGGUGAGUAACACGUGAGUAACCUGCCCUUGACUUUGGGAUAACUUCAGGAAACUGGGGCUAAUACCGGAUAGGAGCUCCUGCUGCAUGGUGUGGGUUGGAAAGUUUCGGCGGUUGGGGAUGGACUCGCGGCUUAUCAGCUUGUUGGUGAGGUAGUGGCUUACCAAGGCUUUGACGGGUAGCCGGCCUGAGAGGGUGACCGGCCACAUUGGGACUGAGAUACGGCCCAGACUCCUACGGGAGGCAGCAGUGGGGAAUAUUGCACGAUGGGCGGAAGCCUGAUGCAGCAACGCCGCGUGCGGGAUGACGGCCUUCGGGUUGUAAACCGCUUUCGCCUGUGACGAAGCGUGAGUGACGGUAAUGGGUAAAGAAGCACCGGCUAACUACGUG
RNAcentral lists this ribosomal RNA (468 nucleotides) under uncultured bacterium. RNAcentral describes it as "partial 16S ribosomal RNA". It matches the Rfam family "Bacterial small subunit ribosomal RNA", at positions 28 to 507 of the family's 1533-position model. The record is from RNAcentral.